This 674-nucleotide ribosomal RNA is filed under the name Serratia marcescens. RNAcentral's name for it is "bacterial SSU rRNA". It matches the Rfam family "Bacterial small subunit ribosomal RNA", at positions 72 to 739 of the family's 1533-position model. The record is from RNAcentral. Lineage: Bacteria; Pseudomonadati; Pseudomonadota; Gammaproteobacteria; Enterobacterales; Yersiniaceae.
AGGGGAGCUUGCUCCCUGGGUGACGAGCGGCGGACGGGUGAGUAAUGUCUGGGAAACUGCCUGAUGGAGGGGGAUAACUACUGGAAACGGUAGCUAAUACCGCAUAACGUCGCAAGACCAAAGAGGGGGACCUUCGGGCCUCUUGCCAUCAGAUGUGCCCAGAUGGGAUUAGCUAGUAGGUGGGGUAAUGGCUCACCUAGGCGACGAUCCCUAGCUGGUCUGAGAGGAUGACCAGCCACACUGGAACUGAGACACGGUCCAGACUCCUACGGGAGGCAGCAGUGGGGAAUAUUGCACAAUGGGCGCAAGCCUGAUGCAGCCAUGCCGCGUGUGUGAAGAAGGCCUUCGGGUUGUAAAGCACUUUCAGCGAGGAGGAAGGUGGUGAACUUAAUACGUUCAUCAAUUGACGUUACUCGCAGAAGAAGCACCGGCUAACUCCGUGCCAGCAGCCGCGGUAAUACGGAGGGUGCAAGCGUUAAUCGGAAUUACUGGGCGUAAAGCGCACGCAGGCGGUUUGUUAAGUCAGAUGUGAAAUCCCCGGGCUCAACCUGGGAACUGCAUUUGAAACUGGCAAGCUAGAGUCUCGUAGAGGGGGGUAGAAUUCCAGGUGUAGCGGUGAAAUGCGUAGAGAUCUGGAGGAAUACCGGUGGCGAAGGCGGCCCCCUGGACGAAGA